RNAcentral lists this long non-coding RNA (205 nucleotides) under Lathyrus oleraceus (garden pea). RNAcentral describes it as "Pisum sativum (pea) long non-coding RNA (PSAT_LNC005962)". The record is from RNAcentral. Lineage: Eukaryota; Viridiplantae; Streptophyta; Magnoliopsida; Fabales; Fabaceae.
AAAGGAAGAAGAAGGCGACCUUGUGAUAAAGAGGUUUUCCAAUUUUUGGAGGAAGAAGAAAUGAUCUCUCUUCAUCCACGUGCAAAGAGAGAAUUUUGUUUUUUUCUAUCCAAAUCCAGUGAGAGCAAGGUGAGUCAAGGAGUUGUUUUCAUCCCCCUGUUGGUGUAAGCCCUAGAGGCCAAUACUUUUGGUACUUGUAUCAAAU